ACACACACGUCUUUCAUGUCCCGCCCACUUCUUCAAAGUUAUCUAGACUACGCCACUGAGAAAGACCCAUUUCUGAACGCUGUGAACCAAAGAUUUCUGUCUUAUUUAUCGAGUCACACUGAAGGCAUCAAGGGCUAUUUGAGCAAGAAGGAGAGUGAUGACCUGGCCUCCACAGUCACCGGACCUGAACCCAAUCCAGAUGGUUUAGGGGUGAGCUGGACCACAGACAGAAGGCAAAAGGGCCAACAAGUGCUAAGCAUCUCUCGGGGAACUCCUUCCAGACUGUUGGAAGACCAUUUCUGGUCAGUUUUAGAAAACAGGAUGUCUCACACUGUCAUACCCAUGAACUCUUCAACACUCGUCAUUCAGCUGCAACCAGCACCUGAGACGACGGACACAAAUGCUCCUGGACCUGUUUAUGCACAAAAGAUGACGGUAGCUUCACCUCUUCAAGGACUUCAGGCAUUUCUGAAAGCGCAACCGAAGGCCCUUGGGACGGUCGAGAUAAUGAUCGGUGUGAUGACUUUCCUGUUAGGCAUUGUGGCUACAGUUUCCGGAUUUUCUAUCUUUGUCUAUACUGGUGUUACUUACUGGGGAUCUCUCAUCUACAUUGCUGCAGGCUCACUCUGCAUUGCUGCAGAAAACAAAAUUAAGUCUCCCCCCAAUUUGUGUUUGGUGAAUGCUUCACUGGGAAUGAACGUUUGCAGUACGAUAUCUGCAGGCAUUUCCAUUGUUGCAAUUUCACUAGAUUUUGUUAUAUUUCACCGAUACGGGGCAAAUUAUGAGACUCUCUUCAUGGGAAUCAAAGGUGUAUUAAUGUUAUUCGCCGCGUUCGAGUUUAUCAUCUCCAUCUGUCUGUCAGCAUUUGCCUGUAAAGCAAACACCUACGGUUAUUCUACUCUGGCAGUGUGGGCAGGUGGCAAAUCCUGCUGGAAAAUGAAAUCAUCAUCUUCGAAAAGUUGGUAAGCAGAAAGAUGCAUGAAGUGCUCCAAAAUGUCUUGGUAAACAGGUGCAGUGUCUUUGGUUUUCAAAAAACACAAUGGACCAACACCAGCAGAUGACAUUGCACCCCAAAUCAUUGCUUAACACUGAAGUUCAAGCAAUGUGGGCUAUGAGCUUCUCCACCAUCCCUCCAGAGUCUAGGACCUUGGAUUCCACAUGAAACAUAAAACUUGCUCUCAUCUGAAAAGAGGACUUUGGACCACUAGACAACAGUCCAGUUCUUCUCCUUAGCCCAGAUACCUGUGACAAGCAGCUCUUCCAUUAAUCACCAGCCUGCAGACACUCCUCCACAAUACAGUGAACCCAAACAAAUAUGAAUACGUGGGGUGUUACCUGUUAUGAGAGAAAAUAUAUGGGAAUGUAUUAGAACAGUGGUUUCCAAACCUGUCCUGGAGGAUCCCCUGCCCUGAACCUUUUGUAUGUGUCCUUCAUCUAAUCAGUCCCUCCAGAAUUUCGCUGAACUUUCUUCUGAUUUUUUCAGCCUAAAAUUUUGCUGCAGCUUUUCUUAAAAUUUGUGUUUCUAAGAUGUUUCCUAUCAGAUGUCAAAUAGACAUUUAUUAGAACGCAUGUAAAACUGCUUCUGAGACGUUUAAUCAGAGUACACAGCAGAUGAUUCCCAAAGCUUUAGCAGACGUCUUACAGAUGAAAUAAAUGUACUACAUCUGAUUAAAUUAACUUUUAUUACUGUAAUAUAUAAUGUCUAAAUAUAAUUUAAUGAAUACAAAUAUAUAUAUAUUUUAGGAAGUGGAAAUGGCCUAUAAGUACUUUUCUGCAGCUAUCUACUAGUGGUAAUUUAAUAUCUUUUCUAUUUUUAAUUAAUUGUUUGCUUUCCUACAUCUUGAAACUUUUAGUUUUAUACAUGGGGGAACCAUGAAGAAUAAACAUAUAUCUUCACAUAAAAAUUUGGUAAUACUUAAAGCUUUGAAGUGCUGGGAAAAGUUGUGUGAAGCAUUUAAAAUCACUCGAAAACAUUAGAUAAUUUCUGCCACAAGUUGUCCCUGUAGUUUACUGUUAAAUCAAUGGUGAACGGUGAUGAUCUGUGUUUAUUGAACAAUGUUUUUCCUGGUUUCCAGAUCAGUGGCAUUUGUUCUGAUAUCUGUAACUUUAACAGAAUUCUGCGCUGAAUUUGAAUGCUUCUCACAUGAUUAGACAGAGAUGUUGAUUCUGUGGGGAUUUCUACUGCUUUCUUCACUCUAUCUCCCAGCGCUGUGUAUAUCAGUGUCACGUGAUCAAGAUCAGCCCGCGACUCCAGCUCGAGCAGAUAAACGGUCUGCGCUGUGUAGGCCAAACUAGUAGCACAGAUUCGUUCCAAUUUUGGUUUGUUUAUCCAAUGUAACUCCUGUACAUCAGUCAUAAUGAGAACUCAAGGCUGUUCAUUCCAUUUUUUAAAAUGAAAAACAACCCUUCUUUGAAUGAAUGCACAUUGCGAUGUCGUCAAGGGACGCAAUGAAAUGUAAGUUUGCUUGAUUUUGCAACAAAUUCAGCAAUCACGAAAUCCUGGAGGGACUGUCUUAACAAACCUGAUUCCACUCAUCAGUUCAAUAGUAGAGACUGCGAGAACUAAAUUAGUUGUGUCUGAUUAGGGAGACAUACAAAGGUGCAGGUCCUCCAGGACAGGUUUGGGAACCACUGUAUUAGAAAAUAUAAUGCUGUUCAAAUAUAAUAUGAACACAAACUUUUCUCUCGCUUUAUUGUUUGCAUAGUUACACAUUUCAUAUAUGAAAAUAUUUGUGAUGUAUAGAAGAAAACUGUACUGAAAAUAUAAAUAAAAGUUUUGGAAUUUUAGACGA
Molecule: RNA transcript, 2792 nt
Organism: Carassius gibelio (silver crucian carp)
Lineage: Eukaryota; Metazoa; Chordata; Actinopteri; Cypriniformes; Cyprinidae
Gene name: membrane-spanning 4-domains subfamily A member 8
Exons: 9
Source: RefSeq, a predicted model, not a curated record